Molecule: ribosomal RNA, 301 nt
Filed under: uncultured bacterium
Lineage: Bacteria
Description: partial 16S ribosomal RNA
Rfam family: Bacterial small subunit ribosomal RNA
Source: RNAcentral
CAGCCGCCACGGUAAUACGGAGGGAGCUAGCGUUGUUCGGAAUUACUGGGCGUAAAGCGCGCGUAGGCGGUUACUCAAGUCAGAGGUGAAAGCCCGGGGCUCAACCCCGGAACUGCCUUUGAAACUAGGUGACUAGAAUCUUGGAGAGGUCAGUGGAAUUCCGAGCGUAGAGGUGAAAUUCGUAGAUAUUCGGAAGAACACCAGAGGCGAAGGCGACUGACUGGACAAGUAUUUACGCUGAGGUGCGAAAGCGUGGGGAGCAAACAGGAUUAGAUACCCCCGUAGUCCCUGUCUCUUAUAU